AAGAGCUCUCGCAUGUUUUCGACCUGCUGCCAGUGCAACAUUAUAAGACAGCUCAGCAUGCUCAGAGGAGAAUACUAAGUGCCAUUUGUGACACGUCUGCUAACAGAACACAGCUUACCGGUGCCACACUGAGUGAUGGGAGAGGAAGGGCUAUCCAAUCUUGGAGACAGAGAUCAUUUGUGCUCUCUUGGGCUGCAGAUGGCUAUUGCAAUGGAAGAUGCCAACCCAACUGAACACCUAUGAGAGAUUUUGGACUGGCAUGUUAGACAACACUCUACACCACAGCCAUGAAACAGGCUUCAAUCAAUUGGUGCAAAAUGAACCACAGAGCGCGGUCGUUCACUGGGCUGGUGGCAACUGUGCAGUAAUGACUGAGCUGUGGACAGUUUGAGCACUCAUGCAUGUGCUCGCCCCACGCGCUGAUCACCCCUAACUAGGAGGCUUAACUCAGGGGUCGCCACUGAAAUGUUAAGAAGAGCCGUUUUGUCCUUUCAACAAAAACUGAAACCACCUUUGGAGCCACAACAUUUUAUGUCCGUUUUACCCUCUUGGCUGUAAGUAUGUCUCAGUAUGUGCUGAUGUUCUACUGUAGGCUACUAUAGAAAUAUAAACCCAAACUCAGACUUACUUUGCUCUGCUUUAACCUUUUACUCAGCUGAAAUUUUGGUUGGUUAUUUGAGUUACUGUUGCCUUUCUAUCAUCUGGAACCAGUCUGCCCAUUCUCCUCUGACCUCUCACAUCAACAAGGAAUUUUCGUCCACAAAACUGACCGCUCACUAGACAUUUUCUCUUUUUCUGACCGUUCUCUCUGAACCCUAGAGAUGGUUGUGUGUGAAAAUCCCAGUAGAUCAGCCGUUUCUGAGAUACUCAGGCCAGCCCGUCUGGCACCAACAACUACACCACGUUCAAAGUCACUUAAAUCACCUUUCUUCUCCAUUCUGAUGCUCAGUUUGCACUUCAGCAAGUUGUCUUGACCACCUCUACAUGCCUAAAUGCAUUGAGUCAUGUGAUUGGCUGAUUAACUAUUUGUGUUAACAAGCAAUUGAACAGGUGCAGCUAAUAAAGUGGCCUGAUAAAAUAGACUAUGAACGUCAAAACAAAGAAGUGGUCAUAAUGUUAUGCCUGAUCAGUGUAUCUUGCCAAAAUGUUUAAAUUGGAGCAGUUUUAUU
Molecule: long non-coding RNA, 1169 nt
Organism: Pygocentrus nattereri (red-bellied piranha)
Lineage: Eukaryota; Metazoa; Chordata; Actinopteri; Characiformes; Serrasalmidae
Exons: 3
Source: RefSeq, a predicted model, not a curated record